UGGGGAAUUUUGCGCAAUGGGGGAAACCCUGACGCAGCAACGCCGCGUGAGUGAUGAAGGCCUUCGGGUCGUAAAGCUCUGUCAGAGGGGAAGAAAUGCAGGGGUGCUAAUAUCAUCUUUGCUUGACGGUACCCUCAAAGGAAGCACCGGCUAACUCCGUGCCAGCAGCCCCGGUAAUCCGACGGGUGCGCGCGUCGUUCGGCAUUAUUGGGCGUAAAGCGCGUGUAGGCGGUUUGGUAAGUCUGAUGUGAAAGCCCCGGGCUCAACCUGGGAAGUGCAUUGGAAACUGUCAGACUUGAAUACGGGAGAGGGUAGUGGAAUUCCUAGUGUAGGAGUGAGAUCCGUAGAUAUUAGGAGGAACUCCGGUGGCGAAGGCGGCUACCUGGACCGAUAUUGACGCUGAGACGCGAAAGCGUGGGGAGCAAACAG
RNAcentral lists this ribosomal RNA (429 nucleotides) under uncultured bacterium. RNAcentral describes it as "bacterial SSU rRNA". It matches the Rfam family "Bacterial small subunit ribosomal RNA", at positions 355 to 775 of the family's 1533-position model. The record is from RNAcentral.